UGCCAAGACAAGGGAAAUGUUGAAAAG
This 27-nucleotide non-coding RNA is filed under the name Mus musculus (house mouse). The record is from RNAcentral. Lineage: Eukaryota; Metazoa; Chordata; Mammalia; Rodentia; Muridae.